This 465-nucleotide ribosomal RNA is filed under the name Vreelandella stevensii. RNAcentral describes it as "partial 16S ribosomal RNA". It matches the Rfam family "Bacterial small subunit ribosomal RNA", at positions 338 to 795 of the family's 1533-position model. The record is from RNAcentral. Lineage: Bacteria; Pseudomonadati; Pseudomonadota; Gammaproteobacteria; Oceanospirillales; Halomonadaceae.
CCUACGGGGGGCAGCAGUGGGGAAUAUUGGACAAUGGGGGGAACCCUGAUCCAGCCAUGCCGCGUGUGUGAAGAAGGCCCUCGGGUUGUAAAGCACUUUCAGUGAGGAAGAACGCCUGGUGGUUAAUACCCAUCAGGAAAGACAUCACUCACAGAAGAAGCACCGGCUAACUCCGUGCCAGCAGCCGCGGUAAUACGGAGGGUGCGAGCGUUAAUCGGAAUUACUGGGCGUAAAGCGCGCGUAGGUGGCUUGAUAAGCCGGUUGUGAAAGCCCCGGGCUCAACCUGGGAACGGCAUCCGGAACUGGCAAGCUAGAGUGCAGGAGAGGAAGGUAGAAUUCCCGGUGUAGCGGUGAAAUGCGUAGAGAUCGGGAGGAAUACCAGUGGCGAAGGCGGCCUUCUGGACUGACACUGACACUGAGGUGCGAAAGCGUGGGUAGCAAACAGGAUUAGAUACCCUUGUAGUC